Molecule: unclassified non-coding RNA, 230 nt
Filed under: uncultured Pezizaceae
Lineage: Eukaryota; Fungi; Ascomycota; Pezizomycetes; Pezizales; Pezizaceae
Description: sequence contains ITS1
Source: RNAcentral
CAAAAUAAAAAGAAAAAAACCUUUUGGUCUUUUUUUUUUUAGCUUCUAUAUCUUUCUGUUUACAUUUUCCAUGUUUCUUCCACUGGACAGGUAAUAAUUUAUUUUAGAUGAUAAAUUAUAACCCUCUAGCUUGUGUAAACAUUCACUUGCUGGGGAGUUGCCAGUGGGCUAUUUUACCAAAAUUUGGCUUUUAAGAUAUUCAAUUGCAUAAAUAGGGGAAUUUCAAAAAA